This is a non-coding RNA of Pantherophis guttatus, 1601 nucleotides long. NCBI's taxonomy places the organism in Eukaryota, Metazoa, Chordata, Lepidosauria, Squamata, Colubridae. The record is from RefSeq and is a predicted model, not a curated record.
CCCCCCGAGCCUUAUGGCUUUCCCACGUGCUGCGUCUUUCCCCGGUUUAUGUUGGCGGAGGGGGAGAGGCCAAAGGGGAACAGCUCGCGCCUGCCCCACCCCCUCUGCGCGCCGUGCUACUGGGACUUUCCCUUGCCGCCGAUGCCAGGAAUCCCGCUUUGCCAAGCUCGCAUCCUUGGAGGAAAUGGAGGGAAAGGAUGGCCUGCCUUCAAAACCUGCAAGAUGGGGCGCCGCAGCAAGCCGCCUUGAUUUAUAGCCCAGGGACCUGUUUCCAAGCUUUCUCUCUCUCCCAGCUCACCUGACGCUACUCGCGCCCAUGAAUGAAUGGUUUUACAAGAUGGCUACACCAAUUUUUAAGGAAUGAUUUCCCCCUUCAGCUAGCAAGUAACCUGUGUUAGUUUCAAGGUCAGCAAGCCAGACUGAAUAAAAUUUAUCAAAUAAAACCUACAAAGCAGAGCCUACAAUUGCACUUGCACUAUUUUGCUAUCAGCAAUAUAUGGCUUUUGCCAGCUGCAAAAACAAAUUUUGCAACAGCAAUAAUUAUCUUGGGGUUCUUAUCUGCUAGUAACAAUUGCAUGUAGAACUUUUCAGUCCAUCUGAGAUAUGGAAUUAGAAGAGGUCUGUAUGUCUCGAUAGAAAUUGCAACAUAACAGAAUAUGAAUUUGUGUUUCAAUAAUCUCACCAUUACAAGAACAAAGCCUUUCCGCAUAUGAAGUUUUAUAAAGUUUUCCUUCCAGCUCUGCUGAUGGCAUCAUACUGAAUUACAGUAGUUUAAAUGCUCAUUGCAAUUUAUUGCUUGUGGAUUGAUCUAGGUAGAAUGCCACUUUGAAAUGUGCAUUCUUGUGUCCCAGUUGUGCCCUUGACAAGAGAUUACCAUAAUCUGACUAUAAUUCUGACUGUAAUUCAAGGAACCUUUGUUUAAGCAUCACCAUUGCCUGAUCUGGUCCCAUGUGCAGGAAUCUCUUGAAAAACCUAAUUUGCAUAUUUUCUUUUCUCAAUUUGGAAUUUCCAGGAUGUAUGAUCAAUUAAUGUUAGUUCAGUCAGACCUUGGGGUUAAAAGUGAACCAAUAUUUAAUUGUGCAAACCAUAUCGUUGUUUUGACUUUGAUAAAUCCUGCCUCCAGCCUCAAGGUAGGCAUUUUGCCACCUGGAAUAGCUUUCUUAGAAUUUCUGCUGUAUUCUUUCCAAGUUCUGGUAAUUAAUUCCUAGGUUUAACUGGGCUCUGUAUAACAGCUAGAAUAAUGUCUUAGCUUCAGAAAGCUUGAGGGCAGAUGGUAUAUAUUGGGCACUUCUGGAGAACAAGAAAGAAAGAAUUGCUGCUCAACUCCUCUGGGUAUGUAGUGCUUCACGGAGUGGUGAAGCACAAAUCCUAAGAAUUGAAGCUGGGAAUCUGCUCUAUUUUCUGCCUUCAAGAGUCCAAUGCAGUUUUUUUUAAAAAAACAUGGCAAGACUUAGAAAACUACUUACCUGAACUGAUGAUAACUUACCCAGAAGCAAAGGUUAUUAUAGGAGGAUAUUUUAAUGCAAGACAUGGCCCUGGUGACUUGGUCCUAUAUUCAAAGUGCCACAAACAUCCUACAUAAAUGUAUUUGUCACCAAUGU